RNAcentral lists this ribosomal RNA (301 nucleotides) under uncultured bacterium. Its description in RNAcentral is "partial 16S ribosomal RNA". It matches the Rfam family "Bacterial small subunit ribosomal RNA", at positions 509 to 807 of the family's 1533-position model. The record is from RNAcentral.
CAGCCGCCGCGGUAAAACGAGGGGAGCUAGCGUUGUUCGGAAUUACUGGGCGUAAAGCGCGCGUAGGCGGCUUUUUAAGUCAGAGGUGAAAGCCCGGGGCUCAACCCCGGAAUUGCCUUUGAAACUGGAAAGCUAGAAUCUUGGAGAGGUCAGUGGAAUUCCGAGUGUAGAGGUGAAAUUCGUAGAUAUUCGGAAGAACACCAGUGGCGAAGGCGACUGACUGGACAAGUAUUGACGCUGAGGUGCGAAAGCGUGGGGAGCAAACAGGAUUAGAUACCCCAGUAGUCCCUGUCUCUUAUAC